GUAACUACUUAGUGUUUAUGCACAAGGCUAUCAAAUUCACUCCAUUUCUAUGGACAGGUUCCCAGCAAUCCUGCCAGGUAAGUCGCAUUGGCCCUCAUCUUUCAGGGGAGGAGCUGAGAUAGGAAGUUAUUUUCCCAGAGCGAAACUUAGAGGGGCAGGGAUUGAACUCCAGGCCUUGUACCUGGACCGGGAGCCAGGAAAGGAGGGCACGUGUCUGGUGUGGGGCCAAGGUGGUGGGCAGGGCGUUAGGCUGGAGGUGAGGGGUAAUGAGGGAAGGUGCAGGUGCUGAAGGUUUUACUCUGGCCUUGGCUUUGAUUCAAGGCUACUGGAUGGAUUGUCGAAGUGUGGCUUCACCACUGGGGUGGCAGAUGAGCCACUGAAUCCACCGGAAGGCCCGAGAGCAUUCCCAAUAUUGCUGCUUACAGCUGCAGGGCAAGUUGCUUCAUUCCACUGAACUUCUGUUACCUUAUCCAUGGAACUACAGUGGGUUUGGCCAGGAACACAUCUCAGAUCUUUUCUAGCAAUAGUGCUGUGUGGCUCUUAAGAAACUCAGAAGGUAAUUGAAAACAGGACUGUGCAAUUGAAACCAGCUUGUUACAAGCACCAGGGAAAAUAUUUUUCAAAGAAGCAAGUUCCAUCCAAAGAGCAACUCUACUCCUAUGUAGGUAAGCCUGCCAAAUAUCUCGGCCUGGUUAGAUACAAUCCUCCGAGGCAUUUACUUCCCUCCAGGUUAAUAAACAUCAAAGACCAUGAUGCUUUUAGGAUACAGUUCCCUGUUAAAUUCUUUAAGGGCAUCUUUGACAUUGGUCCUUUGUGUGCCUGGGAGGCAAGGAAGUUGCAAACCCGGGAGCUAUUUACUGCCCAGCUGUCUCCUCCUGUGACUGCCGACCUUCCAGCAGCCCCAGUGCCAUUAGCCUGCCUUCUGCUGUCACCGCAGGUUUGCUCAGACUUUUCACCUUCACUGUUGAUCACAAAAACUCAGCUGGAGGUUGCUGAAUGCAUCAAACGAAGGGAAAGCCAGCCAGGAGAUGAGGCUGGGAAGUUGUGAGCAGGGAGCGGACAUGAGCCUGCAGGGUGAGGUGCUUCAGGCUCAGAGCAGCAGUGCAAGACCAUCUGCUCUCCAUGUGCCCAGGAAGACCUCGAAGCAUCCUCCAGACCUGGUUAUGGAUACAGGAAGGGGGAGGCGAGCAGCAAUCAAGGCGAGUGACUCGAGAACCAGCCCUGCACCAUAAACCCCAUGCAGUCAGGAACCAGGGAGUGGGCACACAGUAGGUGCUCAUGAAUGUCUGGAGAGUACAAGGUGGCUGGAGCAGACAGUGAACGGUUCCUAAAUAGUUGGCCUGAACCUGUGCAGGACACAGGAGAGGGAAGGAGUGUGAGGGGUGGGGGGCAAGAGGACAGGGAAUUAUUACUUAGGGCAGGAAGUUCAAGGCUACAGAAAUUCUGACAGGUUGUGCUCAUUGUCGUUGUCAUUACCCGCACAGCCUCCCUCAGGGUGGUACUGCUUGGAAAGCCGUUAUGACACUGAUGGCCAGCAAAUAAUUAAGCUGUUUAGAGCUUGGGAAAUUUGUUCUCUGACUAAUUAAACUUUAUGGAUCUAGCUGUUCCCUAAACAUUAUUCUAAGAUUGCACGGUGAACAUUACACCUUGUGCACCAUUGGGCACCAUUAGAUUGGCAUUAGUGCUCACUAGGGGAUAUUUUAUGAUGUGUGCUUCUAAACUCCCAAGACAGAUGAAGCUGAGACACAUGUGAGUACCCCAUAAAACAAAUCCUAUCGGACUUUCAUUUCGAAUGCUUUGGCAUUCCCAGUUAAAAUGAUAAUGUAGUGGCCUUUUGCUCCACGUGUUAAACUCAAUGAGCAUCAUGAGAAUUCCAUCAUUUUAUCAGCAUCUGAUAUGCUAGAAAAAUAUAACUAUAAUAUAUGCU
Long non-coding RNA from Vulpes vulpes (red fox), 1927 nucleotides. The record is from Ensembl. NCBI's taxonomy places the organism in Eukaryota, Metazoa, Chordata, Mammalia, Carnivora, Canidae.